This 646-nucleotide long non-coding RNA is filed under the name Helianthus annuus (common sunflower). RNAcentral's name for it is "hypothetical non coding rna". Lineage: Eukaryota; Viridiplantae; Streptophyta; Magnoliopsida; Asterales; Asteraceae. The record is from RNAcentral.
GUGUCUUUUGAAGUUAUAUUUUCAAUAUAGAGUUUUUAUGUGAGUUUACCCCCUGGUUUGGCCCAGGGGGUGACAUUCAAGAUUCGAGUUUAUUCUCGGAUUGACCCGUUCUUCUUUGUUUGAUUCCGCCAAACAAAGAUUAAUUCUUAUGUUCAUAGAACGAUACAUUUAUUUUAUAAGAGUUAAUCAUUGAAGAAAUCUCACUCUCACUGUCUCUAUUUUUAUUCUUUGAAUGUAUAUAUACUUCACAAACACCUGUCUCUACGAUCGAAAAAAGUUGAAUCAAUCAAAUAGGAUCAGAAAAGGGGACCAACAACGUUAGAACCAAAUCUGAACCAUCCAACACUUCGAAUAGGGUUUAGAGCUCAAAAGGGGUUAGAACCAGAUCCCAACCAUCUUCGGCAACGACUAGUGAUUUGGGUUUAGAGGGUCAUGCUUGUAAAUCGAUUGUGCAGCGGAAGGUCCACCAUUAACGCCUGCAAAGCGAACACAUCUGGCUUCAUUUGACAGUUUGGUGGCGGUGGCUAAGCAAACCGGUGGUCAGCGACGGUGAAGAAGUAAGAGAUGGUUGAUAUAAAAGAAUGUGAUUAAUGAAUAAUUAAAUCCUUAUUUGUAAAGUUAUUAUGAAAAUUGCUUCUGAUUAUAU